AGGGUUCGGCCCUCGGCAAACGGCUCAGUAACACGUGGGUAACCUACCCUCAGGACAGGGAUAACCCCGGAAAACUGGGGAUAAUACCUGAUAAGUGGAUAUGUCUGGGACGACUUUCCGCUCAAAUGCUCCGGCGCCUGAGGAUGGGCCUGCGACCGAUUAGGUUGUUGGCGGUGUAAUGGACCACCAAGCCUGCGAUCGGUACGGGCGUUGAGAGACGUAGCCCGGAGAUGGGGACUGAGACACGGCCCCAGGCCCUACGGGGCGCAGCAGGCGCGAAAACUCCGCAAUACACGAAAGUGUGACGGGGGGACCCCAAGUGCUCUCGCGCAAGCGAGUGCUUUUGUGAAGUGUAAAUAGCUUUACGAAUAAGAGCUGGGUAAGACCGGUGCCAGCCGCCGCGGUAACACCGGCAGCUCGAGUGGUGAUCAUUAUUAUUGGGCCUAAAGCGUCCGUAGCCUGUUUGAUAAGUCCUUGGGCAAAUCCUGCCGCUUAACGGUAGGAAUUCUGAGGAUACUGUCAGACUUGAGGCCGAGAGAGGUCGGAGGUACUCCUGGGGUAGCGGUGAAAUGCUAUAAUCCUAGGGGGACCACCAGUGGCGAAAGCGUCCGACCAGAGCGGGCCUGACGGUAAGGGACGAAAGCCAGGGGCGCGAACGGGAUUAGAUACCCCGGUAGUCCUGGCCGUAAACGCUGUGGGCUAGGUGUUGCAUGCUCUACGAGGGCG
This 726-nucleotide ribosomal RNA is filed under the name uncultured archaeon. Its description in RNAcentral is "bacterial SSU rRNA". It matches the Rfam family "Archaeal small subunit ribosomal RNA", at positions 63 to 793 of the family's 1478-position model. The record is from RNAcentral.